AGAACGAACGCUGGCGGCAGGCCUAACACAUGCAAGUCGAACGCCCCGCAAGGGGAGUGGCAGACGGGUGAGUAACGCGUGGGAACGUACCCUUCGGUUCGGAAUAACCCGGGGAAACUCGGGCUAAUACCGGAUACGUCCUGCCCCUUAAACAAGGGUGGGAGAAAGAUUUAUCGCCGAAGGAUCGGCCCGCGUUGGAUUAGCUAGUUGGCGGGGUAAUGGCCCACCAAGGCGACGAUCCAUAGCUGGUCUGAGAGGAUGAUCAGCCACACUGGGACUGAGACACGGCCCAGACUCCUACGGGAGGCAGCAGUGGGGAAUAUUGGACAAUGGGCGAAAGCCUGGAUCCAGCCAUGCCGCGUGAGUGAAGAAGGCCCGUAGGGUUGUAAAGCUCUUUCAGUCGGGAAGAGUAAUGAACGGUACCCGCAGAAGAAGCCCCGGACUAACGUUCGUCGCCAGCAGCCG
Molecule: ribosomal RNA, 465 nt
Filed under: uncultured soil bacterium
Lineage: Bacteria
Description: bacterial SSU rRNA
Rfam family: Bacterial small subunit ribosomal RNA
Source: RNAcentral